RNAcentral lists this non-coding RNA (202 nucleotides) under Clostridia bacterium. Its description in RNAcentral is "6S RNA". It matches the Rfam family "6S / SsrS RNA". From Rfam's summary of the family: E. coli 6S RNA was the first non coding RNA to be sequenced, but its function was unknown until recently. Lineage: Bacteria; Bacillati; Bacillota; Clostridia. The record is from RNAcentral.
AAUGACCUGCCCGACGCGCGGACCGUGCACAAAUAACCCUACACUCAAACUUUCGGGAGCCCGGCUCCGCAGGCGGACUGCAGACCUCCCGGUGCGGCUUUGACCGUUAUCGGACGAAGGGAGCGCGAACCCUGUGGGAGGGCACCCACCUGCUUUUUCGUAGCAGGUUAUUGAGAGCACGUUACGGUCGGGCGGGGAUUUU